AGGAGCGGGAGGAGGCGGAGGAUGUUCCCGGCGGCUGCGGCCGGGGCAGCGCGGACCAGAGACGCGGCGUGCGGAGCCCUCAGCUGCCCGGCGGAGCGCGGCAGCGGACGGGCGGCGAGUUGCAGGCUCUCCGCUGCCCCGGGCGCUCCGACCGCGAGUCCCGGGCUUUGUCUCCCGGACCGCCUUCGUGUUGACGGUCAGGGGGCUCCGGGUCGGCGAAGGGCGCGGGCUGGGCGCCGCCGGGCCCCGGCCCGGACGCGACGCUCGGAAGGGAAGGGGCGGACAAAAAAAGACCAAAUGGCAAAGCAACCUUCCGAUGUAAGUUCUGAGUGUGACAGAGAAGGUGGACAAUUGCAGCCUGCCGAAAGGCCUCCUCAGCUCAGGCCUGGGGCCCCCAUCUCUCUACAGACAGAGCGGCAAGGUAAUCCCGAAGGAGAAGGGGACCGCUGCCCCCAAGGCAGCCCGCAGGGCCCACUGGCCCCACCGGCCAGUCCCGGCCCUUUCGCUACCAGAUCCCCGCUUUUCAUCUUCGUGAGAAGAUCUUCCCUGCUGUCUCGAUCCUCCAGUGGGUAUUUCUCUUUUGACACAGACAGGAGCCCGGCACCCAUGAGUUGUGACAAAUCAACACAAACCCCAAGUCCUCCUUGCCAGGCCUUCAACCAUUAUCUCAGUGCGAUGGCUUCCAUGAGGCAGUCUCAGGCUGUACCUGCAGAUAUGCGUCCGGAGAUAUGGAUUGCGCAAGAGUUGCGGCGUAUUGGAGACGAAUUUAAUGCAUAUUACCCAAGGAGGUUAGAGCAAUAGAGGAAGUUGUCGUGUAGUUGUCAUGUGCUCAGUGCACUUGAGGGCAGUGGGGAAGCAUAUGAGACGGAGCUGUGGAGUCUGAAUCCUUGAAGCAGGAGGUGAGAGAGGCACAGGUCUUUCUGAAUAAUCACCAAGCAGCCGAAGGUCACCCGCAAAUGGUUAUCUUACGACUGUUACGCCACAUCAUCCGUCUGGUGUGGAGGAUGCAGUGACAGCGGGUUCCUCACGGAGCCGGGAUGUGCAGACAUUUUGCUCGUUCAGAGCGACAAGCCCAGCGCCUCGGUGUCUCGGUGCCCUUGCUGUGCAGCCCGAGGUCCCUCGCCGGAGGGGGCGGGCGGGGAGCCUGCCGGCGUGGCCCCGGAGAACACCGAGCUGCACGUGGACCUGACCUUGUCUUUCAUCAUCACCACGCGGCCGAAUUUCUAACCGAAGCUUGUUGUGAAUGUAAAUGAGGGAGGAUUGUCUUUUUAAACAAUGUACAAAUCAUGGUUCUUUGGAGCAGGAUUUUAUGCAAGAAUGGUGUUUACAUGCCGUGUGUGUUUUUUUUUUUUGUUCCCACCUUCUUUGAUAAGAACAGGUUUUUCAAAAAGGAAACGGAAACUUUUUAACCAACUUGUGAGUGAUUUUUGUACUAAAAUUUUAAGAACCUUUUGCCUACUCAGAGGAUUGUGUAAACUCUGCAGUGGAAACUGAGCCAGCUGAAUUAUAAAGCUGCCUUAGUUUAUUUUUAGAGGUCACCAUACAGCAUUUUUAAACAGGAGAGGUAUGAUGCAGCCCCUCCCUUCCCUGCCAUUGCCUCUUGGACCUUUUUUUUUUUUUUAAGUCAUUAUUAUUAAUACCAAAAAAGUUCUUACGAAGUGGAACUGGUAAAAGGGGCAGAGGGGUCUCUUGUCAGCCUGUAUUGACAUGCCACUCCCAUUUUGUAAAUAUCUACUUACCUCCUUAAAUUCAGUUGCGUCUGUGGCAAAAUUUCAGACUCUUCUUGUGUUUCUCCUUACGUCCUUUGGUGACGCUCCUCCAGCCUGUCGGGACCCUGAUGCACACAUUUGGUCCAGUGUAUUUUCAUGGUAAAAAGCAUAAUUGGGUCGGAACAUGAGUUAGUAUCUGCCUGUAUCAGACACAGGUCUGUUGGUCUAUUGGUAGCUUACUCACUGGGAGGUGCUCGAUGUUGGUUUUCGUUUGGUUUUGAUGGGCUUGUCGUUUAGAAGUGUUCUGAAGAGGUAAUGGCGGUCAUAACACAAGGGAUGCACUGUUGGCUUUUCUGGAUGCAGGCCUUCCCAUAUCGCAGGAUGGACUCUUAGCCUAAGGCCCCCAGGUGGUUAACAUGCCCACGUGCAGCCGAGUUCCCGUCGAGGUAUCCAAGCUCGAGCCCUUGUGGGAACUGGUGCAGGCUAUGGGCGGGACUUGAGACAGCUGUUUCCUGGGCAUCCUGGCUUUUUGUCCAACUCAGAGUUCAUCUGGCUUUUGAUGGCUAACACUUGGUUCCCACUCUUUGAAAUACAGACUUAAUUCUGCUCUCGGCAGUUCUAUUAAAAACCCCGUUGGACACAAGUCUGAAAUGGUCCCUUGGCCUUCUGACAGAUGUCUGUGUCACUUGUUCCACUUCUCUUGGGACGGCUGGAUUUUGUCAGGCCCCCUUCAUGCGGCCACUUCUGUUGGGGAUGCCCUUCCUCCGCGCCUGCCAUGAUUAUGGCAGAGAAUGGAAGCCCACGAGUUGGUCAGUCUUUUCAAAGGCAGUUAAACUACUGGGGAGACCCAAGAAAGACAGAUUAGGGAGCAUUGAAAGAGGGGAGGUGGAGAUCAUUCUGUGAAGACCCCAUCACUCUUAUAGUUUUAGAAACCUCAGAUCAUUGAACAGCUUUUUAAAAAAGAUACGUGAUUUUUCAGAUGAGUCAACAGUGCCAACAACAACUAUCGUAUUUGCUUUUGGCCCAUCGAGAACCAGUGUUUUCACGUUAUCAGUUGGAAAAAUUGAUUCAUUUUUGUAUCUUCAUAAUUUUAUAUAAGUAUAUAUAUAUAUAUGUUGCAUAUACACUUUUUCCUUAGGUAGAGAUAUUUGACUCCAAAUAUUCUUCCUUCUAAAAGUUUUCUUUUCCCCAGAUACCUUCUUGGGGUCUUGAAUUGUUUAAAAGCUGUGUUGAGUCUCAGCUUGUGUCCUUGACAUGUCUUGAACCCCUCUGCAGGGUCCUCAAGUCCACGCGGUUGUUAAGGUGGUUGGUGGAAUUGCAGCCGUGGGCCUGCUGGACACACACACCAAAGACGUAUUUGGUUCUGGGCCGCUCCCCUCCCAGGAUCUCCAUGCUCUAUACGGGCCAGUCUCUCGGACUGGAGCACUUUAUUCUGUUCCUUCAGCCCUGGUGCCCGGGGGCUGAGAGCUCGCUCACCCACGUGCAAGUUUACCUCGGGCUCGGCGGCCUCCAGGCCCCAGGGCUGGCCGUGGAAGCAGCUGGUGAGGAAAUUAGAGAUUCUAUGAAUUGUAGAAGUAUUAAGAGGGUGUUGCCCCAGGACUUAAGAGAGGUGACUGGACGUCUCUGUACUGUACGUAUCUGUUUAUCAAGAUGCCUCCCUGCAGAAAGUAUACCCACUGUGGGUGUACCUUUGACUUCUUAUUUUUCCUUUCUUUGACUUUUUAUAGAGAAAAAAAUAACUCAAUCCCUUUUUGGAAACUGAAUGCGGGUUUUGUGCCUUGACCACCUCGUCUCAACGUGAGGUUUGUAGAAAGUGUCCUGUGACUUUUCACAGAAAUGCAAUAAACACACACGAAAUUAACUUCAUGAGUGAAUCUGCAAAUUACCUGGACUCCUGUUUAUGAAGAAUUUUUUUUUUUUUCUUGGUUGUGGAGAAACCAGGUGAAAAUUUCUUCCGAGUUAAAAAAAAAAAAAAAAUGUACACAGUAGACGACAGCUUUCUCCUGUUUCCCCUUCUUAAUGUUGUAUAUAUUUUGACUAUUUAUUAGAUUAGGAAGUCAUAUUUUACUUAUCAACUGAGCCAAACGUCUGUGUGCAAUUAUUAUGUUUCCUUUACCUUUCUUGUAAAAUUUUGUACAGCAUAAAUGAGUAAAAAAAAAAAAAAAAAAAAAAAAAAAUCACUGUUUUUACUAAACUUUUUCAGAAUUGAGGAUUGUAAAUAUUGUAGAUUCUUUUUCUGUGUAAUGUGUCCUACUGUUUCAUAAUGCUGUAACUUGUAGAGAUGUUGUAUAUUUAUUUCCAGCUUAUUUAAUGUCUUAAAUUCUGAAAAGUGUUGACCUCCCUGACCCCUACCCCCUGCUGUCCUGUUAAUUGCUUUAACUCUGAGGUGGCGACUGGUUAGCUCACUGCAGGCGACGUGGUCUCCCCCGGGGUGGCCCUCCAGCUUUGGUUCCUGGUAUUUCUAGUCAAAUGGGUUUAGAUUCGUAGAGUUUGCUGUCCUCAUGUUGAAGUUUGUGUUUAGACAUCAAUGAGAGACCAUAAACCUAGCAGGCUGUCAACUUCUACUCUAGAGCUUUCCAGUGACUUUCUCUUGUUCCCCAACGGCUAGCUUCUCAUGGAAGCACAUGCUGUUAACUCCAGGCCAUAUUUUAAAGCCAAAAUGUAUACGUGUGUGUGUGUGUGUGUGUG
Balaenoptera acutorostrata (minke whale) is the source of this 4397-nucleotide RNA transcript. It is a transcript of the gene named BCL2 like 11, with no coding region annotated. The record is from RefSeq and is a predicted model, not a curated record. The transcript is spliced from 5 exons. NCBI's taxonomy places the organism in Eukaryota, Metazoa, Chordata, Mammalia, Artiodactyla, Balaenopteridae.